UGUGAUCCAACAACUUUGGGAUAUGGAUUC
Molecule: non-coding RNA, 30 nt
Filed under: Rattus norvegicus (Norway rat)
Lineage: Eukaryota; Metazoa; Chordata; Mammalia; Rodentia; Muridae
Source: RNAcentral